GACGAACGCUGGCGGCGUGCCUAAUACAUGCAAGUUGAGCGAUGAAGCUUGGUGCUUGCCCCAAUUUGAAGAGCAGCGAACGGGUGAGUAACGCGUGGGGAAUCUGCCUUUGAGCGGGGGACAACAUUUGGAAACGAAUGCUAAUACCGCAUAACAACUUUAAACAUAAGUUUUAAGUUUGAAAGAUGCAAUUGCAUCACUCAAAGAUGAUCCCGCGUUGUAUUAGCUAGUUGGUGAGGUAAAGGCUCACCAAGGCGAUGAUACAUAGCCGACCUGAGAGGGUGAUCGGCCACAUUGGGACGGAGACACGGCCCAAACUCCUACGGGAGGCAGCAGUAGGGAAUCUUCGGCAAUGGACGAAAGUCUGACCGAGCAACGCCGCGUGAGUGAAGAAGGUUUUCGGAUCGUAAAACUCUGUUGGUAGAGAAGAACGUUGGUGAGAGUGGAAAGCUCAUCAAGUGACGGUAACUACCCAGAAAGGGACGGCUAACUACGUG
RNAcentral lists this ribosomal RNA (497 nucleotides) under uncultured bacterium. Its description in RNAcentral is "partial 16S ribosomal RNA". It matches the Rfam family "Bacterial small subunit ribosomal RNA", at positions 28 to 507 of the family's 1533-position model. The record is from RNAcentral.